Molecule: ribosomal RNA, 84 nt
Filed under: Plagiomnium cuspidatum
Lineage: Eukaryota; Viridiplantae; Streptophyta; Bryopsida; Bryales; Mniaceae
Description: partial 5.8S ribosomal RNA
Rfam family: 5.8S ribosomal RNA
About the family: 5.8S ribosomal RNA (5.8S rRNA) is a component of the large subunit of the eukaryotic ribosome. It is transcribed by RNA polymerase I as part of the 45S precursor that also contains 18S and 28S rRNA. Functionally, it is thought that 5.8S rRNA may be involved in ribosome translocation.
Source: RNAcentral
UUGCAGAAUUCCGCGAAUCAUCGAGUCUUUGAACGCAAGUUGCGCCCGAGGCUUGUCCGAGGGCAUUUCCGCUAGAGCGUCACC